AACUUUCAACAACGGAUCUCUUGGUUCUGGCAUCGAUGAAGAACGCAGCAAAAUGCGAUAAGUAAUGUGAAUUGCAGAAUUCAGUGAAUCAUCGAAUCUUUGAACGCACAUUGCGCCCGCCAGUAUUCUGGCGGGCAGGCCUGUUCGAGCGUCAUU
RNAcentral lists this ribosomal RNA (156 nucleotides) under Fusarium oxysporum. RNAcentral describes it as "5.8S ribosomal RNA". It matches the Rfam family "5.8S ribosomal RNA". From Rfam's summary of the family: 5.8S ribosomal RNA (5.8S rRNA) is a component of the large subunit of the eukaryotic ribosome. It is transcribed by RNA polymerase I as part of the 45S precursor that also contains 18S and 28S rRNA. Lineage: Eukaryota; Fungi; Ascomycota; Sordariomycetes; Hypocreales; Nectriaceae. The record is from RNAcentral.